This 917-nucleotide ribosomal RNA is filed under the name uncultured Acidobacteriota bacterium. RNAcentral's name for it is "bacterial SSU rRNA". It matches the Rfam family "Bacterial small subunit ribosomal RNA", at positions 58 to 952 of the family's 1533-position model. Lineage: Bacteria; Pseudomonadati; Acidobacteriota. The record is from RNAcentral.
CAAGUCGAACGCGAAAGGGGGCAACCCCCGGUAGCGUGGCAGACGGGUGAGUAACACGUGGGCAACCUACCCGGAGGUGGGGGAUAACUCUUCGAAAGGAGAGCUAAUACCGCAUAACACCCCGAGGUUUUCGAACCUUGGUUUCAAAGCUAGCCUCUGCUUGCAAGCUAGCGCCACCGGAGGGGCCCGCGCCCCAUUAGCUAGUUGGUGAGGUAACGGCUCACCAAGGCGACGAUGGGUAGCCGGCCUGAGAGGGCGACCGGCCACACUGGAACUGAGACACGGUCCAGACUCCUACGGGAGGCAGCAGUGAGGAAUCUUGCGCAAUGGGCGAAUGCCUGACGCAGCGACGCCGCGUGGAGGAUGAAGGUCUUCGGAUCGUAAACUCCUGUCGAGCGGGACGAAUGCCGGGAGGGUUAACAGCCUUCCCGGUUGACGGUACCGCUGGAGGAAGCCCCGGCUAACUCCGUGCCAGCAGCCGCGGUAAUACGGAGGGGGCCAGCGUUGUUCGGAAUUAUUGGGCGUAAAGGGCGCGUAGGCGGCCAUUCAAGUCGGACGUGAAAUCCCUCGGCUCAACCGGGGAACUGCGUCCGAUACUGUCUGGCUCGAGUCCUGGAGAGGGUAGUGGAAUUCCCAGUGUAGCGGUGAAAUGCGUAGAUACUGGGAGGAACACCGGUGGCGAAGGCGGCUACCUGGACAGGUACUGACGCUGAUGCGCGAAAGCUAGGGGAGCAAACAGGAUUAGAUACCCUGGUAGUCCUAGCUGUAAACGAUGGGCACUUGGUGUUGCGGGUAUCGACCCCUGCAGUGCCGAAGCUAACGCAUUAAGUGCCCCGCCUGGGGAGUACGGUCGCAAGGCUGAAACUCAAAGGAAUUGACGGGGGCCCGCACAAGCGGUGGAGCAUGUGGUUCAAUUC